CUAGCUCUCCUGGCACUCUGAUGUGAUGUUGAGGUUGUGUAUGCUUCACAAUUAACAAAGACUUUUUAUUAUUUUGAACUCUUGAUGUCACUGCCUUUGUUUUGCAUAGAAGACAACAUGACAAGGUUUUUAAAAUGCAUUUUCUUAUUUUCCACAGUAUGUAUUUUUAAAUCACACUGACAGUUUUAUUCCACAGCACACCCGCAAUUGCUCAGCUCUCACAAACAACUCUCGCCCAACAAAAGCACUCAGGGUAGAAGAAGUUUAAGGAGAUGGAUUUCAGUCUCCUGUUUCAGAGGGGUUGCUGUAAAUCACAGCAUGGGAGGAAGAAGACAAAUAUAAAAAUGAUGAAAGGUACCUUGAUAAAAGUGUGUUUUUAAUCACUAUUUUCCUAGGCAGGUGCAAUUCUCAAAACUUUUUCUCAGUGGGGCUGUACUUUAUGAAGUUCACCUGCCAGCGGAUCUGGAGGAUCAAUGCCUACUCUCUCUUUGGCUUGUGACCACACCUACUGUGCUUCGCAGAGGACAGAGUCCCAAGUCUGGACUGUUUCAGGGGACACCUAACCUAUCCAAGAUAGGGCUUCUCCCAGGCUUCCUGCCUCAUGAAGGAUUUGUUUUUCUAGGUGCUGGUGACCCUGAUGGUGAGCCACCUGCUGCUCUUAAAGUGCUGAUGUGACAUUAUGACCAAAAGAAGCAGCUGGACAUCAAAUUCCAUCCACUCCCACCUCACAUAGGUAAUGAUUGAACCAGAUAAACCUCAUUUUGUGGGGAGGGAGAAGUCAAAAGGAAUUUGGAUGUGAGACUGUACAAGUGAAAUUCUCCUUAACAAGGUCUAAUCAGAAUGGCAGUGGGAUGGGGUCUUAGUAUCUUAGGUAUGGCAGAAAAUUCUCAGUGCUUUUCAAAAUAGGAAUAGGAUGCCUAACAAAAUAAUGAUUUUCCCAAUAAUCAUCAGGGAUUUCUAGAAUCCUGGUAUUUCCAGGAUCACUCAUCUUUUCUCAUUUUUGCCACGGGGACUUAUUAGAGGGCUGUCUUAAAACAGCAGACAGGAUUUGGCCCCAAACUAUUUUUUCUUCUCCCCAUAAGAAGGUUCCAAUGUUAUCAUUCUCUGCAUGGCCCACAAUACUGGGAGACAAUGCAUAUGAGUCAGGAGGAAACUAUUCUGUUUAAUCAAGAAUGAACUAAAUGUCAGAGACUCAGUGUUCUAGAUCAACAAUUUCCAGGAUUGAUACAUCUUAAUCAAGUAAUUAAGUGACUUUUUCGGUGGUGUUUUCCACACUGGAGAGAGGAACAGAUUUGCUGCUUUGCUCCGAUGGCUGCUAGCAGCAGUGUUGGUUGUUAACAGAGACAUUUACACGGAACCACCAGUUGGCAGGGCUAACACUUUGUUACUUGCUAUUCCCACAUGCUGAGGAUUGUGGGAAGGCUGCCAAGCUUUCUGUCUCAUGUAGUUCUUCAGUAUAAUAACAGCAACAGCAACAAAAAGCCUUGAAAAAAAGAAGAAAAAGAAGAAGAGCAAAGGAAACAAUGGCGCUAAGUCCCUGGCUUCAUAUUAAGCAUGAAUGAAAUGAGAACAUUUUAGUGGUACUUUUUCCCCAUCAUCUUUCUUUCUCUGUCUUUGUCUUUCUUCUUCACGCUUUCUCUCUCCAUUUAAAUAGCAUUUUAAAUUGAGGUUGAUGCUUCUCAAACUUUAAAAGAUUUUUCAAAUCACCUGAGGUCUUGUUAAAAAUGUAGAUUCUGAUUUUGCCAGUAGGAGGUGGUGCCUAAGGGUUUUCAUUUCUUUCUUUCUCUUUUAGAGCUGCAUCCAUGGCAUAUUGAAGUUCCCAAGGUAGCGGUGGAAUUGGAGCUGCAGCUGCUGGCCUACCCACAGCCACAGCAAUGUGGAAUAUGAACCACAUCUGCGACCUACACCACAGCUCAUGGCAAUGCCAGAUCCUUAACCCACUGAGUGAGGCCAGGGAUCAAACCCACAUCCUCAUGGGUACUAGUCAGGUUCAUUAUCGCUGAGCCACCACAGGAACUCCUAAGGGUCUUCAUUUCUAACUGUACUUGGUGAUACAGAUGCUUUUGGUCCUGUCCUGGAAUCUUAUUUGUCUAGCAAAGGCUGAGGGGAUGGUAAAAGAAAUAACACUUGACUAGAUCUGGUGCUGAUGGUUGCAACUGUCUGAUAAGCAAGGGCUCUGAAAUGACAAUGCACCUUUCUGCCCCACCCCUCCUGUAUCCCUGGAUACCUGAGAUUGAACCCUUUCUAUGUUAUAAUCCCAAUCAGAAAUAUCACCUGUAUUGAAAGAAAUAUUAGGAGUCAGAAGAUCUUGAUCCUAGUUCUAGUUCUGUUACUACCUAGUUGUGUGACAACAGGUUAAGUCCUGUAUCCUCCCCAGGUGUCAGUUAGUUCAUCAGCAUCUGAGGGAAUCACACAUUAUGCACUUGACAGGUGUUUCAGUACAAAUUUUAUGAGCUCUUUUAGCUUAUCUAUUGAAAAGGUGGAAUCUGGGGCUGUACUUGAAUUUGAACAUCUGAAUUUGCUUUGGUAUACUUUGCCUCUCAAAAAUAUAAAAUAAAUAAAAAUCAGUUUCAAAGAACA
Molecule: long non-coding RNA, 2580 nt
Filed under: Sus scrofa (pig)
Lineage: Eukaryota; Metazoa; Chordata; Mammalia; Artiodactyla; Suidae
Description: lncRNA (ENSSSCG00055030954.1)
Source: RNAcentral